RNAcentral lists this long non-coding RNA (892 nucleotides) under Triticum aestivum (bread wheat). RNAcentral describes it as "long non-coding RNA (TAES_LNC007082)". The record is from RNAcentral. Lineage: Eukaryota; Viridiplantae; Streptophyta; Magnoliopsida; Poales; Poaceae.
AUAGUAAGUAUCUAAUUCACAUCACAGUAUAUUAUAUAAAUAAGAUAAGAUCCAAAUCACAUCAUAAAUUUGAAUGAACGACAAAUCAUAUCAUAUAAUCAACCGUCUCAGCCAAAUCAUCCUCUAACUAGAAGUGACAAUAAAAUGGAACACUCACUCUGGAGUUUGACACGACAAUAGACAAGUUAAAAAGGCAAUAUUUAAAUAACUAAAGACCACAUGUGUUGUCCUGAUGAUUACAACAUAUGAUUCAGCAACUAUCUUUCCAUCACAAAAGGAUGGCCUUCAUGCACCGUCAGGUUUGGAAUGGGACUGCUAAGUUGCUUGCUGAGUUCCUUGAGCCUUUAAGAGAAAACCAAUCAGGUUAUCCAUCUCAUGUUGCUUCUUUUGCCAGGCUUCAUUCUUCUCUUGCUGUCUCUUCUUCACAGCUUGCAAUUCUCCAUGUUCCUUCCCCUACAUGUCUUCAAAUGUUGUCACUUGUGCUUCAAGCCUCGCGGCUAACUCCUCUCGAUGCCUAUAAAUUCAACAAACGCAACAUCGUUGUACCUUUGAUGAGAUGAAAACAGACAAGAUAACAAGGUACAAGAGUACCACUAAGAGGCUUACAAUCUAUCAAAUUAAUAAUAUGAAAUAAAGAGGUACAUUAUUAAAUGGCAAGGCAAGCACAUACAGAUGGGCAAAUGAAAGAGUAAACCCAAGAAUAUCUUAUAAUGGUUAAAAAAACAUGCAAACCAAUCAUUUAUUAUUUUAAAAAGCAGCAAGAAACACAAUUAAUAUAUCAAGUCAACAACCCAGGCAAGAAGAAAAUGGACCUUAAAAGAUCUAACAAUUUUACAUGUGAAAAUGUACUUUCCAGGAACUUAAAUGAAUAUAAUAAAGUAGAUAAGUGAGG